GACGAACGCUGGCGGCGCGCCUAACACAUGCAAGUCGAACGAGCGAGAGGAGGUUUACUUUCUCAAGCGAGUGGCGAACGGGUGAGUAACGCGUGAGGAACCUGCCUCAAAGAGGGGGACAACAGUUGGAAACGACUGCUAACACCGCAUAAGCCCACGACCCGGCAUCGGGUAGAGGGAAAAGGAGCAAUCCGCUUUGAGAUGGCCUCGCGUCCGAUUAGCUAGUUGGUGAGGUAAUGGCCCACCAAGGCGACGAUCGGUAGCCGGACUGAAAGGUUGAACGGCCACAUUGGGACUGAGACACGGCCCAGACUCCUACGGGAGGCAGCAGUGGGGAAUAUUGCACAAUGGGGGAAACCCUGAUGCAGCGACGCCGCGUGGAGGAAGAAGGUCUUCGGAUUGUAAACUCCUGUUGUUGAGGAAGAUAAUGACGGUACUCAACAAGGAAGUGACGGCUAACUACGUG
This 466-nucleotide ribosomal RNA is filed under the name uncultured bacterium. Its description in RNAcentral is "partial 16S ribosomal RNA". It matches the Rfam family "Bacterial small subunit ribosomal RNA", at positions 28 to 507 of the family's 1533-position model. The record is from RNAcentral.